UGCAGUCGAGCGAACAGAUAAGGAGCUUGCUCCUUUGACGUUAGCGGCGGACGGGUGAGUAACACGUGGGUAACCUACCUAUAAGACUGGGAUAACUUCGGGAAACCGGAGCUAAUACCGGAUAACAUUUGGAACCGCAUGGUUCUAAAGUGAAAGAUGGUUUUGCUAUCACUUAUAGAUGGACCCGCGCCGUAUUAGCUAGUUGGUAAGGUAACGGCUUACCAAGGCGACGAUACGUAGCCGACCUGAGAGGGUGAUCGGCCACACUGGAACUGAGACACGGUCCAGACUCCUACGGGAGGCAGCAGUAGGGAAUCUUCCGCAAUGGGCGAAAGCCUGACGGAGCAACGCCGCGUGAGUGAUGAAGGGUUUCGGCUCGUAAAACUCUGUUAUUAGGGAAGAACAAACGUGUAAGUAACUGUGCACGUCUUGACGGUACCUAAUCAGAAAGCCACGGCUAACUACGUGCCAGCAGCCGCGGUAAUACGUAGGUGGCAAGCGUUAUCCGGAAUUAUUGGGCGUAAAGCGCGCGUAGGCGGUUUCUUAAGUCUGAUGUGAAAGCCCACGGCUCAACCGUGGAGGGUCAUUGGAAACUGGGAAACUUGAGUGCAGAAGAGGAAAGUGGAAUUCCAUGUGUAGCGGUGAAAUGCGCAGAGAUAUGGAGGAACACCAGUGGCGAAGGCGACUUUCUGGUCUGUAACUGACGCUGAUGUGCGAAAGCGUGGGGAUCAAACAGGAUUAGAUACCCUGGUAGUCCACGCCGUAAACGAUGAGUGCUAAGUGUUAGGGGGUUUCCGCCC
RNAcentral lists this ribosomal RNA (800 nucleotides) under Staphylococcus saprophyticus. RNAcentral describes it as "bacterial SSU rRNA". It matches the Rfam family "Bacterial small subunit ribosomal RNA", at positions 56 to 838 of the family's 1533-position model. The record is from RNAcentral. Lineage: Bacteria; Bacillati; Bacillota; Bacilli; Caryophanales; Staphylococcaceae.